UUUUUGGCUUUUUAGGGCCUUUCCCACGGCAUAUGGGAGUUUGCAGGCCAGGGGCCGAAUCGGAGCCACAGCUGCCGGCCUACACCACAGCCAAAGCAGCACGGAAUCCUAGCCGUCUGCGACCUACACCACAGCUCAUGGCAACAACAGAUCCUUAACCCACUGAGCGAGGCCAGGAAUAGAAUCUGCAUCCUCGUGGAUACCGGUCGAGUUCGUACCCACGGAGCCACAGUGGGAACUCCAAAACCUUCAUUAUUCAAACCCUUAUUCGCUAGCUGCCUCCGACCAGACGAGCCUGCCUUCUGAUCUAAGCAGAGGCAUCCAACUACAAAAAGGACUCAGCCUUGAGGGUGGGCAAGGACCUGGUCUUUUUCCCAGACCCACUCUCGUCAGCAGCUCAAUCAAUGCUCACCAGGGCCUAUUAUGCAGCAGGCACUUCAACUAAUAAUGGGAAGCCAUUAAAAGCUUUUAAGACGUUGAACUGCAGGAUCUAGUUUGCCGUUUUAAAAGCCAGGAGGAAGGCAGGAGUCUGCUGCUGGUGGAUGCUCUCGGGAGGGAGUCCUGGCACCAGUGAUGUCAGGUCCUACUGCUGGACCCAAAGGGAUAGAGCAGCGUCAUCAGGGGUCAGGGGUGCCUGCAAGCACUCAGGGAUAAAAUGCGAACGCCGCUACGUGCUCUCCUAGCCUCGGCUGCAUGGACCAGCUGCAUGGACCAAGUGCUGAACCGGUGAUCUCCCCUUCCCUUUAAAAAAAAAACCUUUGCAUUUCCUUUUUGAUGGGAUAAGAAUGUGGGGAAUGUCUUUAGCUGAGAAAGUAUGUAUGGAUUGUCCAGGGAGAUGACAAGGAAGAGACACGCCUCUGGCCAACCUCCAGGCACGGGGAGAGGCCCAGGUCAGCCAGGAACUCGGCACCGAGCGGGGCCAGGGGGCGGCCUCCAAGCUCCCCUUCUCCCUGGAGGGCUCUUUCUAGGAGGCCGCGACCUCCUGAGUGUCCCUGCAAGGUGGAGGAGCAGAAUGCCAGCACUCUGGGCAGCACCGCCUGCCUGCGGGAGAAGCCCCAGGUCCCCACCGAGGUGUCCUCUGAGCAAGAACCCAGCUGGGACAGUCUGGCCCGGCCUCACAGGUUUUUCUCAGGCCAAAUGUGAUUGAGUGUUUUAUAAAAAGCAGCGAUACACUGCAAGGACAGGCGUGAUCGCUCUUUGAAAUCUCUAGAUGGGAAGAUAGGCUCAGGGACCCCAAGGCUGCCCCCGGCCCGGCGGGCGCAUCGUUACUUAAGUGGGACUAUGGGAUAAACGCGUCACCAUAAAUGCCGGAAGGGACCUCUGUCCCUACAGCUGCUCUCCCAUAAAUACCAGAGACUUUCCACACGGAGGCCCUUUUCUUUUUCCACUUUCCUUUGGAAAAACAGGAAAAGCCAGGCAUCCAGCAAGCGGAUAACUGGUGUACUCUCAGUCACGCUAACUAGAAUGUUCUCCAGCGGCCCCAGGCCCAGGACACUGCGUGUGCACAGGGCUCUCUGAAAUGCCACUCCGAUCUUGUCCCUUGUUCACAACUCCCCACGGCUCCCCUCCGCCCUCGGGAUAAAGUCCGAGCUCCUCACUGGGACGGCCCUUGGCUACCUGACCCCACGUGGAUCCCUCCAACUCCGCCCUCCAAGCACAAGUCCUUUCUCUCCCCAAAAUAAAUACUGAAUCUGUCCUCUUCCCUCCUUGUCU
This 1713-nucleotide long non-coding RNA is filed under the name Sus scrofa (pig). RNAcentral's name for it is "lncRNA (ENSSSCG00025056156.1)". Lineage: Eukaryota; Metazoa; Chordata; Mammalia; Artiodactyla; Suidae. The record is from RNAcentral.